This 69-nucleotide transfer RNA is filed under the name Marmota monax (woodchuck). It matches the Rfam family "tRNA". Rfam says of the family: Transfer RNA (tRNA) molecules are approximately 80 nucleotides in length. Their secondary structure includes four short double-helical elements and three loops (D, anti-codon, and T loops). The record is from Rfam by way of RNAcentral. RNAcentral also lists the same sequence under 1 other name. Lineage: Eukaryota; Metazoa; Chordata; Mammalia; Rodentia; Sciuridae.
GGGGCUGUGGCUCAGCGGUAGAGCACUUGCCUAGCAUGUGUGAGGUCCUGGGUUCGAUCCUCAGCACCA